AGCAGUGUGGCUCAGUGGAAAGAGCACGGGCUUGGGAGUCAGAGGUCUGGGUUCUAAUCCCGGCUCUGCCA
RNAcentral lists this transfer RNA (71 nucleotides) under Ornithorhynchus anatinus (platypus). It matches the Rfam family "tRNA". Rfam says of the family: Transfer RNA (tRNA) molecules are approximately 80 nucleotides in length. Lineage: Eukaryota; Metazoa; Chordata; Mammalia; Monotremata; Ornithorhynchidae. The record is from Rfam by way of RNAcentral.